Amblyraja radiata (thorny skate) is the source of this 2241-nucleotide long non-coding RNA. RefSeq lists it as uncharacterized. The transcript is spliced from 3 exons. Lineage: Eukaryota; Metazoa; Chordata; Chondrichthyes; Rajiformes; Rajidae. The record is from RefSeq and is a predicted model, not a curated record.
CCCAGGUUUUUUGAGCCGUUUUACCUUAUUGGUCCAGAAAGAGAAUAUCGAUAGUGAGUUCAACCUAUUACCUACCCGUCCCAUCCCCAACCCACCCCCCCCCCACUGGUUCCAUCUAUCACUGAAUAGCCUCUAUUCCACCCUGCUUUAUCCUGCUAUAUUCUGGCACUCGCUCCUCUCUCUUGGUCCUGCAGGAUCUCAACCCAAACCGUUCACUUGCACCUUUUGCCUUCACAGCUGCAGCUUGACCUGCUGAGUCCUCCCAGUGUGCUGUCUGUUCCAGAUUCCAGCAUCUGCAAUCUCUUUUGCCUUCAAACCACUGAUCGAGCCAGUGAUUGAGAUGGAAGGCACUGGUAUACUCAAGAACAUUCAAAGUUGCCUUUAGGUCAAGGAGCAUGAGGAAGGAUAGUGUAUCUUUAAUACAAUUGCACAGGAUUACUUUUUCCCUAUAUUCGUUCCUCUGGUCUCACACUUCAUGCCUCGUCUACCCUUAUUUCAUGGCUUUGUCCCACCCCACCUCUCUUCCAGCUUUCUCCUACAAUCAGUCUGAAGAAGGGUCCCGACCCGAAACAUCAUCCAUCCAUGUUCUCCCGAGAUGCUGAGCUACUCCAGCAUUAUAUGUCCUGUUUGUAAUACCAGACAUCGGCAGUUCCUUGUGUCCAUAACAUUUGUAUUUACUGUUCAAUCUCUCUUGUGCCAGUGUAUGAAAACCGACUGGGAAUAUUUUUAAAUGGCAGAAAUGCCGAAAAGGUGCCUAUUUCAAUCCAUUUUAAUUUUUGAACAAUAUUUUGAUAUUUUAGAAAAACCAUAAACGUGUAUUCAUAGUAAAUAUAUGAGGACAUCGAAUGAAAUCUAUCAAAUGUCGAACUUCAAUUUCGCUGCUGAGGUUCACAGCAUCGUUUAUUUCCAAUUGCUGAUUCUGCAGAAUUAACAGCUUGCUUAGCAAAAUAAUUGCACUCUUUCUGUUUGGUUGUGUGUGUGUGUCCAUCUGAAGAGAAUAUAAGUUUAUCCUUUCAAGAGCAACUCCAAAAAUGAGAAGUAUCCAGCCACGUGGACAGUUACAUGCUUCCCCAUACUCUGACAUUUUCCCCUUUCUAUCGAAAGGACCAAUUGCUGGGUUACGGUCCCACAGAUACACAAGACCUUUUGGAUAAACCUACCUUUUGAAUGCCAAUGGAUAAUUUAACUAUGGAAGCAAUUACAGUUCUGAAUUUUGGGAUUUAAUCAGAGAAAAUCACUUGAGUUGGUCUGGGCUAUAAAGUGGCAAAUGUGGUUCAAAAGGACUCUGAUAUUUAUAAAUAUUCCAAAAAAAUUAAAUCAAUUAUAAUAUUAUUAUCAUUAAAGAUAUUUAUGUGAACUUGUAAAAACAAAGAAAACUUGGAUUAAACUUGGUUGGGUCAAAAAACCUUUACUUUGUUCUAAACUUGUUCUCUCUCUGCCACUCCCUCUCAGCCUGUUCUCUCCAUUCAAAUGAAUUAUAUCAACUAUUCUAUCAACAAAAUCACCAAAAUAAAUUCCCAAUAAAAAAAGAUGGAGAAUUUGUUUUAAAUUCACCAUGCUGUCGGUCCCUUUUUGAGUCCAAUGUCAAAACACAGUCCGUAAAUCAGUGGAAAGCUGCAAUUAAGUUCAUGAUCUUUGUAUUUGCACGGAAAUCUUAAACACAAUAGAAAAUUGCUGGUGUUUCCAUCAGCCCAUUGAAUUCCUCUUUUUUUUGCCCUGUAAAAACUCAUUAUGUUUUGAGUUCAGUUUUUAAUAUUUUAAAGCAUAGAAAUUAUUAAUUUAAAAGUCAACAAUUCCUUCCCAAGCUGAAAUAAGAUUCACUCUCGGAAAAUACAAGGUACAGCAUUUAUUUUAAUUUAAAUGAUUCUAAUAUUCAAUAGUUUUUUUCUGCUUGUGUGUUGUAAGCUGUUUAAAACAUCUUUGCCCAUGGCAGUCAAUGACAUCUAAUGUAUGAUUAUUAAUUUCUAAUUAUACAUAUUAGCAUAAAUAUAGGUUGUAAUGUUAUCCUCACUUUUCAAAUAUCCUUGUAUUCAAUACAGGAUAGAAAAUUGUAUUUUUAAUCGAUCCUUUUCAUGUCCCCGGACCAACUGGUUUUGCUGUGCAUUUUGGUUUUGUUGACCUUUGCAGUUUGAGUACUUGUGUGUUGCAGUUAGUAGUUUAUUUCCGCUCGUGGUUGCUCAUUUAUUACCAUCUGAGAAGUACUAAUAUAAAACUGGCGGAUGUGUUUAAUAAAUUUCUGCU